This 337-nucleotide unclassified non-coding RNA is filed under the name soil metagenome. RNAcentral's name for it is "partial contains 5.8S ribosomal RNA, internal transcribed spacer 2, and large subunit ribosomal RNA". The stretch from base 1 to 120 matches the Rfam family "5.8S ribosomal RNA", at positions 35 to 154 of the family's 154-position model. The record is from RNAcentral.
GAUGAAGAACGCAGCAAAAUGCGAUAAGUAGUGUGAAUUGCAGAAUUCAGUGAAUCAUCGAAUCUUUGAACGCACAUUGCGCCCCUUGGUAUUCCAUGGGGCAUGCCUGUUCGAGCGUCAUUUGUACCUUCAAGCUCUGCUUGGUGUUGGGUGUUUGUCUCGCCUCUGCGUGUAGACUCGCCUCAAAACAAUUGGCAGCCGGCGUAUUGAUUUCGGAGCGCAGUACAUCUCGCGCUUUGCACUCAUAACGACGACGUCCAAAAGUACAUUUUUACACUCUUGACCUCGGAUCAGGUAGGGAUACCCGCUGAACUUAAGCAUAUCAAUAAGCGGAGGA